Molecule: ribosomal RNA, 113 nt
Filed under: Pteropus alecto (black flying fox)
Lineage: Eukaryota; Metazoa; Chordata; Mammalia; Chiroptera; Pteropodidae
Source: RNAcentral
AUCUACAGCCAUGAAACCCUGAACAAGCCUAAUGUCUAAUCUCGGAAGCUAAGCAGGGUCAGGCCUGGUUAGUACUUGGAUGGGAGACCUAGGAAGACCAGGUGCUAUAGGCA